This 197-nucleotide ribosomal RNA is filed under the name uncultured bacterium. RNAcentral describes it as "partial 16S ribosomal RNA". It matches the Rfam family "Bacterial small subunit ribosomal RNA", at positions 1305 to 1500 of the family's 1533-position model. The record is from RNAcentral.
CUGCAACUCGCCUGUAUGAAGUCGGAAUUGCUAGUAAUCGCGGAUCAGCAUGCCGCGGUGAAUACGUUCCUGGGGCCUUGUACACACCGCCCGUCACACCAUGAGAGCCGGGAACACCCGAAGUCCGUAGUCUAACCGCAAGGAGGACGCGGCCGAAGGUGGGUUUGGUAAUUGGGGUGAAGUCGUAACAAGGUAUC